UCUACGGGGGCUGCAGUGGGGAAUAUUGGACAAUGGGCGAAAGCCUGAUCCAGCCAUGCCGCGUGUGUGAAGAAGGCCUUCGGGUUGUAAAGCACUUUCAGUGGGGAAGAAAGCCUUGGGGCUAAUACCCUCGAGGAAGGACAUCACCCACAGAAGAAGCACCGGCUAACUCCGUGCCAGCAGCCGCGGUAAUACGGAGGGUGCGAGCGUUAAUCGGAAUUACUGGGCGUAAAGCGCGCGUAGGCGGUCUGAUAAGCCGGUUGUGAAAGCCCCGGGCUCAACCUGGGAACGGCAUCCGGAACUGUCAGGCUAGAGUGCAGGAGAGGAAGGUAGAAUUCCCGGUGUAGCGGUGAAAUGCGUAGAGAUCGGGAGGAAUACCAGUGGCGAAGGCGGCCUUCUGGACUGACACUGACGCUGAGGUGCGAAAGCGUGGGUAGCAAACAGGAUUAGAUACCCCAGUAGUC
RNAcentral lists this ribosomal RNA (464 nucleotides) under Vreelandella stevensii. RNAcentral describes it as "partial 16S ribosomal RNA". It matches the Rfam family "Bacterial small subunit ribosomal RNA", at positions 338 to 795 of the family's 1533-position model. The record is from RNAcentral. Lineage: Bacteria; Pseudomonadati; Pseudomonadota; Gammaproteobacteria; Oceanospirillales; Halomonadaceae.